RNAcentral lists this ribosomal RNA (339 nucleotides) under Triticum aestivum (bread wheat). RNAcentral describes it as "partial small subunit ribosomal RNA". The record is from RNAcentral. Lineage: Eukaryota; Viridiplantae; Streptophyta; Magnoliopsida; Poales; Poaceae.
AUGGGCGGUGAGAGCCGCAACGAUGCCUUCAAUAAUGGAGCGAGCUUCGCCGUCGCCGGUCCGUCAGAAGAUAGAGCAAGUUUUCACCCCGGUCUACACUCACCGCCACCAACCGCUACACCCUGGCAACCACGCCGCCCACACGGUCAUGAUCACCGGGCAGCGCCAAGACACGGGCUCUGCCCAAGAGCACCGUGCACCGCCACCAGGGCCGCCGCCCCGGCAUCCAAGACCUUGAAACCACCACACCCGAGACCCGCCGCUACCCCAACCAAAGAGACGAGCAGAAAAGGAGACGCCUUUGCACCCCUGGCCCACCUCAGCGUCGAGACCCAAUAG